GACGAACGCUGGUGGCGUGCCUAAUACAUGCAAGUAGAACGCACAGUUUAUACCGUAGCUUGCUACACCAUAGACUGUGAGUUGCGAACGGGUGAGUAACGCGUAGGUAACCUGCCUGGUAGCGGGGGAUAACUAUUGGAAACGAUAGCUAAUACCGCAUAAUAUUAAUUAUUGCAUGAUAAUUAAUUGAAAGGUGCAAUUGCACCACUACCAGAUGGACCUGCGUUGUAUUAGCUAGUAGGUGAGGUAACGGCUCACCUAGGCGACGAUACAUAGCCGACCUGAGAGGGUGAUCGGCCACACUGGGACUGAAACACGGCCCAGACUCCUACGGGAGGCAGCAGUAGGGAAUCUUCGGCAAUGGACGAAAGUCUGACCGAGCAACGCCGCGUGAGUGAAGAAGGUUUUCGGAUCGUAAAGCUCUGUUGUAAGAGAAGAACGGGUGUGAGAGUGGAAAGUUCACACUGUGACGGUAUCUUACCAGAAAGGGACGGCUAACUACGUG
RNAcentral lists this ribosomal RNA (505 nucleotides) under uncultured bacterium. RNAcentral's name for it is "partial 16S ribosomal RNA". It matches the Rfam family "Bacterial small subunit ribosomal RNA", at positions 28 to 507 of the family's 1533-position model. The record is from RNAcentral.